AAUUAGAGACCUAGUUGAUAGGAAUAAGGAGGGGGGAAGGGAAGAGUAAUAGACAUAUAAUACAAAGGCAAGAGUAACAAGAGUAGCAACACUAAAUAAAUAUGUGAGUUCCUUUCAAGGUGUGGUACAAGGCUGGGCCCGUGGUGUGUAGAAAGGGAACUUGGAGACACCUGCGAUGGCAGGUACGGUAAAGCUGCUGUUCUGUGUCCACAUCAAGCUCAGAAAGUGAACCCUAAGAACUUGGGGAAAGCAACAGAUGUUCGCUCUGCUGGGGGUCUCCUCGGACCUCAAGAUGCCCGGAACUUCCGAGCAGAACCUGACCCUAGGGGCUGACUUCCGACUCUCACAAGCCGGAAGUGAGACUUUGCAAAUGGCCGUCUGACCUGAGCCUCCGUGUUGCCGUGUUUUGCCCCCAGAAGGGAAGAGGUCCAGCUGAGUCCUGCUGGGGAGCAGGGGAGCAGGACUGAGGAGGACACUGGGAAGGUCUGGGAAACUGGACCAAGCUGGGGUCUCCACAGGAAGGGCCUUGUCCCGGAAGCCCACUUCCUCACAGGUAGGACAGGGCUGCGACCCCAGGCAGACUCGCGCUGGCUCCCGAAUUCUCCCAGAGCAGGGCAAAGGGGAGCCGGGGCAGCCGCCGCUGCAGGAAACGUGUCUGACCAAGACUUGCGACGGGCACCAGGGCCUUGUGCUGACCGAGCGGCUCUGGGAGCCCGUGGGAGGACGAGGGAGGCCAAACCGGAAACGUCUGGCUGCUCAGUGCUGAGACGGGGAGUAGAAUGGACACCGGAUGCAAGCAGCACUCUAGCAUCCAGGGCAGCAGAAGGAACGCACACCGGCCUCUGGAGAGGUGGAUGCCCUUUAGCGACAGUUGGAGCCCACGCUUGGUGUCCCAAGACCUUAACAGCUGUCACAAUAAUUAUUAUCUUCACGCCAGAAAGGGCGGAGCAGCAAAGGCAAAGACCCGAGGUGUGGAGAGUCUGCCUCUUGCUGUGAUGCGCUUGGCUUUCUCCAGCUCAGUUGGCUGUGUUUCAUUCCCCAGAAAUUACUCCCAGCUCUUCCUAGGGCUCCCAGAUGUCCACUCACCAAAUAGAAGGAAUAAUAAACCCAGCUUUUCUUUAGUCUCCA
Oryctolagus cuniculus (rabbit) is the source of this 1128-nucleotide long non-coding RNA. RefSeq lists it as uncharacterized. Lineage: Eukaryota; Metazoa; Chordata; Mammalia; Lagomorpha; Leporidae. The record is from RefSeq and is a predicted model, not a curated record.